GACGAACGCUGGCGGCGUGCCUAAUACAUGCAAGUUGAGCGCUGAAGGUUGGUACUUGUACCAACUGGAUGAGCAGCGAACGGGUGAGUAACGCGUGGGGAAUCUGCCUUUGAGCGGGGGACAACAUUUGGAAACGAAUGCUAAUACCGCAUAAAAACUUUAAACACAAGUUUUAAGUUUGAAAGAUGCAAUUGCAUCACUCAAAGAUGAUCCCGCGUUGUAUUAGCUAGUUGGUGAGGUAAAGGUUCACCAAGGCGAUGAUACAUAGCCGACCUGAGAGGGUGAUCGGCCACAUUGGGACUGAGACACGGCCCAAACUCCUACGGGAGGCAGCAGUAGGGAAUCUUCGGCAAUGGACGAAAGUCUGACCGAGCAACGCCGCGUGAGUGAAGAAGGUUUUCGGAUCGUAAAACUCUGUUGGUAGAGAAGAACGUUGGUGAGAGUGGAAAGCUCAUCAAGUGACGGUAACUACCCAGAAAGGGACGGCUAACUACGUG
Molecule: ribosomal RNA, 497 nt
Filed under: uncultured bacterium
Lineage: Bacteria
Description: partial 16S ribosomal RNA
Rfam family: Bacterial small subunit ribosomal RNA
Source: RNAcentral